This 8553-nucleotide long non-coding RNA is filed under the name Musa acuminata (dwarf banana). Its description in RNAcentral is "long non-coding RNA (MACU_LNC005895)". Lineage: Eukaryota; Viridiplantae; Streptophyta; Magnoliopsida; Zingiberales; Musaceae. The record is from RNAcentral.
UCAUUGGCCGCUGGGCUAACCAGAGUAAUCAUCCUAAGUGACAGCAAGUCCAGAAUCCAUGAAUGCAUGGCACUAAGCUUUGAGAUUCUAAAUGGAUAAACUCUUUUGUGAGCUCAAAGCUACAUCAAGAGUGGUGUUACCGAUCCUUUGGUUUUUCGGGCACAUACAAGCACUUGGAAGGAGCAGUAGUUCUGGUGACUUGUGAAUCAUCACAAUCAAAGAUGUGAUAAGUCCGCUGUAUGCUUAAAAGCUCGGCUCUGCAAGGUACAUGCACCAGGUAAAAGGACACAUGAUGCUGCUCUAUCUCUUCCAAGUGGGUGCAGAAUCUUGGCGUUCCAUCACCGUCGUCGCGUGUUUCUUUCCUUCGUGGAGGGUCCAUGCACGGGCAGGCUCUUGUGCUACGACAUUGGACGCAAAAGGAAGAUUUGAGUUGAUUUAUCGGAUUACAUCUAACAUUGUCUAACAAAUUAAAAAAUCAUAACUAAUUCCUAGUUUUCUUUAGGAAAAGGAAAAUUAAGAGAGCACGAGAUUGCUAUUAUCCAUCAAAUUGAUUAGUUAUUUAUACUAAUUCAUUGAAUUAAUAUCAUGUAGAUAGCACAUAUUUUGUAGAUAGCAUAGGAUGACAAAUGAACUUUCUCAAUUCUUGAUAAAUCAUGAUACAUAACAAUUCAGGAUAAGCCCAACAUAACUAAUUAUGAGGACGUAAUCUGAUUCCAAUUUUAUCUCUAUCGUUAGAACGCAAAUGAAUCGCAAGAAUAAAGACAGACCCAUUCAGCUGAAAACUAAAUGAAGAUAUACCGAUGGUAGCAAUUGCAGAAAGUGAGGUCUGCUGAAGAUAGACAGCAUCAGAAAAAUGGAACAUGAUGCACUUCCGAUACAUUUCAGCAUUAAGAAAACACAAAAUUCCAGACCUUGGACUAUACCAAUGGACAAGAGAACUAUACCAGGAAAGAUUAUUUUUAUGAUACAAAAGCAGGUUAUGAUACAAACUUUUGAAUACUGCUGAUGUGUUAUUCUGCAAAAAAAGACUAUUAAAACUGAUGGAGCUGACGCUUCCUUUCCUUCACUUCUUCCAUCUACUUAUUAGUGCACAAAGUCAUAAUCUCAAUAUCCAUACAGCAUAGCAUCAAAAUCCUUUCUGUAUUGUGGAACUAAUCCACUUCAGCUGUGCCUAUAUAUUGUUCUAUGAUGUACAGGAUCUCACGUGACUCUUCUAGAGAAAACUAGAAGGACUUCAGUUUCAGUCUUCAAGUCCUUGAAGUCAAAUAAAUUAAGUUAUAUGAACACACAUAGCCAUGUUGUAGUCUCUAUUAUAGUCAAUCAAUGCUAUAAUUAUUAAGCACAAAUCAAACAAAUAUAACCUAUCUUCUUUAGAAGUAUCAUUUAGGUUGUAACCAAGUAUCUGUACCAACAGUGAAUCUAAAUCUUUGAUGAAAGUGGAGAAAACCCGACAUUUAUCAUCAGUAUAUGCUGUUGCAAGAAGAAUCUGCAACCACAAAGUCAAAGAUGAAGUCAAAGAAACAAUGGAAUUUGUUCUGAUAUGAUGGUCGCAAGCACCAUUGCUCUUUUAGUUCUGGUAAUAGGUGUAAAAACAGAUGCACAUUUGUAAAUACAGUAGGUUUCAUGAAUGCAGAUGAAAUCAGUCGAUUUAACUUUUCCAAGUCCAGCUUCUCCCUUUUACAUGUUACCAAUUGUCAUAUUGCAAUUGAAGCAAAAACAAGAAGGGGGAUAUGCUAAAUGUUCAUAUAUUAUUCCAGUGUACAUUCUUAAAGGCCCCAUAUCUGGAUUAAAAGAUCUAAUGAUCCAAAAUCAUUGCUCUACACCAAAUCCAAUAACAGAAAGCCAACAGAGACAAGACCAGUACAUUAUUUUAUUAUUUCAAUUACUGUUUCAAAUUUAAUGAUUCACAAAUCUGUUGACUAUGCAGUUGUUCCAUUCUUAUUCUUAAAAAUCAAACAAAUAAGAUUUUCCAUCUUUUAACAUCCAUAGUUACUCAUCCUCUUUUGCUAUCAAGCUAGCCCAACCGUUCUACAUUAUAUAAAUAGAUAUAUGCCAAAAGGAUCAGGAAGGAUAAAUUCACACCUACAGUGUCACAGUAGGUUGACAUCUUCCCUAAAUCUCCUUGUAUUUCCAUGAUAUCCUAUAUGUCAUACAUAAGUGUUCUCCUUUUUCACUUUUGUUCUUUCACCCACUUCACUUGCUAUUUCACCUUCUUUUUCACAGCAUAAUAACACGAAACUCAUUGUUUUAGAACAAAAGCAGCUAACCAUCUUGGUAUUCUAGAUACGUUUCAAAUCUUGAAAAUUAUUUUGACAUGCAGUCUUACAGUUCAAACAUAAAAAAUAAGUUAUAUUAGCUGGAAAACAUGCUGAAGUUCAACAAUUUAUUUGACAGGAGAGAAAAUAGAGAAUUAGACAUCAAAAAUUUGUGUGGAAGUUAAACUGAAAUAAAAAUGACCAAAUUACACUGUUCAGUGUUUGAACUUCAACGAAAAAAAAAAGGUUGCAUGAUAUGAAUAAGGUGAUUAUAUUGACAAACUUACAUUGGUAGGAUGCCAUUCAACACUUGCAACAGAAGAAUUAUGCUUCUUCUUGAUAAGCUUUAACCAAAUGAAAAAGAAUAAUCUUGGGUAAGAAACUAAAUUUAGGUUAAGGGGGUUAAAAUUAGUUUACAUAACGCAAUCAGUUUUAAAAACAAAAGUUUCUGCUAGCUCUCCCAGAGAAACAAAUAAAGAAAGCACAAAGUUUAAUGACGUGAACUAGUCAACCCUUAGAAAGAGCAGAAUAAAGAAUCUCUGGUUAGACAGAUUUCCAAAAUUAGAGCAAUAAUGACUUCAAAUAGUUCUUUGAGUUUUGACCAAACAUAUGACAAACCUUCUUAGAUUGUUAUCGAGAUUUUAACCAUGACCAACAAGUAUUUAGUAGAAUGGAGAGGUUGAUUUAGUUGCAGUCUUCUAUCAGGUUCGUUAUAAGAUUUCGGAAGAGGCAGGACAAAAAAAUACAUUUUUUUAUUUAUACUUUUUUAUUUUCUCAAAGGCCAAGCUACUAGACCAUUCCACUUAAUGAACUCAUUCAUGUUGAAAUUUUGACAAUUUAAGUUGUACUAAGUGCAACAACUCCUACAUGGAUACUUCCCUCCAAAAUGAUUGUUCUCAAAUGUACCUAUGGCCAUAGGGCAUACCCUAAUUAUUAGCCAACUAGCUUUGAGAUUAAUUUAACAAGGAAGCUUGGUCAAAAAGGUGCUGAUGCUCUAUCAAUUCCACAUGAAACACUCUAAUCACUGUCAUAUGCAAUCUACAGAAUUUCACCUUUAAACUAACAUAUCUGCUCUGGAACACAUUUUAAAGUUUAAACCAGUGCAGCUAUUGAAGCACAAAGACAUGCUUGUUGAGACAAUGUCAUCAAAAAUAAAACUAGCAAGAGAGGGAAGUAGUUUACUAUGCAUCAGAUGAAAUGUGGUAGUGCCUCUUAGGAAUUAUCUAUGUAUUUUUUAAUAGCCAAAAUACAAAUAAUAUCUACUGGAUGCAGAUUUGUAGAUUCCUCAAUUAGCUGGCACAUGUGCAGCUUGAUCAUUGACAAUGAACAAAGAUGAGCCCAUAGAAAGUGCUAAAUUAAAAAAAAAGCCUUUUGACCAGAUUGAACAAUUUUAUCAAGCACCAAGACAGAUGUAUUCAUGUAUAUAAGUAAACAGAUGUAUAAGACACAUGGUAGUUGAUUACACUGCAUAUAUGAGAUGCAUACAAUAUGUAGUAAGCAUAGAAGUUAGCUACUGAAUAUAGGAGAUGCACGGAGUAGAAUAGAAUAGGGACUCCGACAGAUAUCUCAUAUCCGAACAUCUACUCGUCGCAAUGUCUAUCAUAUGUGUAUGACCCUCUAGGCCCAGUAUCGAACUGGCCGUGAGUCAUACCUGUCAGAACUCCUUCUAGCUUAGUGAAUUAUCAUUUCCAUAAUAAUUCACUCGACUCAUCGACUAUUGACGUACUAGGUCACUACGCCGUAGUCCGCAAAUGAUACAAUGGAAUCUAAUCCUUUGGACCUAUCUAUCCUCAGUUAUCGUAUACGUAUAGUCCCUCAUCAUUCUAAUAUCUAAGAGACCAUAUAUCAAGCUUGGUACUAUCAAGCCCAUAUAGUUUCUACUCGAGUCUCGCUCUAAUCGGAUUCUCUCGGAGAACUCUUUCUCUCUCAAUCCAAAUGACCAUGGUCAGGGUUUUUUCUGAGCAAGAAUACAUGAGAUAUUCCUCUCAUGACACCGAGAGCAAAUGAUCCUCUAUCGACACUCAAUAGCCCUCGUAAGGUUGGCUACCACUCCUGACCAGUUAUUCUCUUGCUCGUAGUGACAUGUGCAUACAGUUUUACCACCACUUCCAAUAGCAAACUUGUUUUCUGAGAUUAUACUCCUGAACCAAAACCUUACAUAUCAGGCAAGAUCUUAAUAUAAAAACUUCUGCUGAUUACUGAUCCAAAUCCAAGUAAUCUAUAACUCCAAGUGUAUUUGUUAGAUUUUAACAAAAAGUUCUACUAAUACUAAAUUGCAAUUUCAUAGAUUACGAGGCAUAUCAAACUUUUUAAGAAUUCAAAUUGGAUGUGGCCUUUCAAACUUUUUGUUCACUGAACAGUAAAAUGGUUGUGUCCCAUCACUCUUCAUUCAGGUAUCAUUUGUCACCGUCAUCCACAUCAACCAUUCAAGUUGAUACAGUCAACGGAUAAAAGUAAACAUGACAAUGACAUGGUUGCACCCUCACUUUGCUCUUCAGUUUUGUUCAUAUACAUCAAACAAGGCACAUCAUACCACUAUGUUAAAAUAACUUGUGAAUUUAUGGUGGUGCAGGAUGCAAUCAUAAAGAAAGUAGCCAUAAAGUGCAUUCAUAUUUUAAUUAGCCAAGGCUACAGUUGUGAGUCCUGUUAUGCCAGGCAGUAGAGGUACUGAAGACAUACUUCACCAUUCACAUAUGUGCACGGGGCGCUAUGCAUACAGUUAAUAUACAUCAAUUCAAAACAUCCAGAACAAAGAAAAAUACACAAUAAAUAACUACAAUAGAGAAAUACAUUUUGAACCAAGUACCACAAGACCAUGAUCCGCUUAAUACAUAAUUGCAAAAGGACAAAAAGUUGGAGCCUUUUUAUUAAUCUAUUUAAUCAUGAUACAUGAAAGAUAGCUACUAAAAAUGAUAAAUAGCAAAUAUAUAGCAGAACAGAAAGUAAUAAAGAAUCAUUGUUAACAAAAAAGAAUGGCUCGAGCCGUGUAACGAUUUAGAACACAAAGAAAUGGAGAACGAGAAAAAGAAAGGAAUAUGUAGCACUAGAUCUGGCUGUUGCAGGGCAUAAGAGGAGAAGAAAAGAAAACAAGAAAAUAGAAAAACAGUGAGGAGAAGGAAAAGAAAGGAGAAAAGGGUCAAGGUGAUAGAUGGCAGAGUUCAGCAAAUGAGGGACAAGGUGGGAAAACAAAUGACAGGAAAAGUAGAAGAUUACACAAGCUCCAACGAUGACAGUAGCACAGUAAUGGGAGCAAGUACCAUCUAAGAAAUAGCUUACAUGAAAGAAAACAAAUUUAGCGAUACUGUUAUAUCAAAUGCAGAAAAUCAUAUAAGUCAAGAGGAACAUGAAACUUUAUAGAACAAUCUAACUCAAACGCAGAAAAUCACCAACAAGAGCCAUUGAUGAACAGAAACAAAAGUGAGAUUGUGCAUCUCAUCCCAUCCUAUCACCUUUAGGACUCCAUUAAACACAAAGGGCAGCACGAUUAAGCCUAAGAAUAAUAAGAGUAGGUACCCACUCAGAUGCUUCUUGAUUCCAAACAUAUCUGAGAUUAGGAAUAUCAAAAGGUACGUAAAUCUGGAUGUGUUAGUACCAUCUUAACCACAUGAAUACUUAACUGUCACAGAGUACAAUCUUUUAUAGGAAGAUACUCUCGAAUUCCGAUCAUGUGAAACAGUUACGAUUUUGUUAGAUCUUAUGCUCCAAUCUAUUCCAGAUACAAGUUAAUUUGCUGCAGAAUACAAUGACAAGAAACACAAGAAGUGUUUAUGAGAAUGAGCACUGCCUAAACCACAUGACACUCAUAAACUUAGAUAGGUGAAAAUCCUCCGGACUUAAAAUCUUUCAAUAAUUGUUGGUCCCUAAUUUUAGCAGUUUUCUGUAUUUAGCAUAAUUAGCCAUUUCUUGAGUAUUUGGUGUGGUAUUAGUCAUUGCUAGGAAGAAAGAAAUCUUGAAAUGAAAAUAAAAGACAUUCAUCAGUAGGACCUUUAGCUAUACAGAACUUUACCUAUACAUAUACAACCUAGUAAAACAAACCAUAUAUGUAAAUAUAUAUGUCUAAUAAGAACAAGUUCAUUGUUUCCCAGCUCCAUCAAUCUAGGCUUCUUAAAUUUUACAGGAUUUAUUAAAGCCCUUUUCUUUAUCUUAAUGGCUUAAGCUGCUCCAAAUUCAUAUUUAGUGCAUCUACAAAAGCUGUGUGAUAUAUAACAAAAUUGUUGUGAGUAUUUCCAAUAUAGUGAAAUGUGUUAUCUAAAUACAGCUUGGUACAAUAUAAGCAAUUCCUACAACAAAGAAAUUCCAUAACAGCUUAAAAUAUAUUGUUUGUAAUCAGAAUACAUGAUUAUAAUGCCAAAGAAAGAAAUAAGACUUACUCUAGUUACAAACACGAAAUGCAAAUGCUUCCAAAGGAUGUAAGCUUCAUAAUAAUACUGUCAUAUAAAAUAGGAAGUAAACAAAGAUAAUGAUACUGUUUGAAGUAUAUGUACCCUCUCCCAUUUUUCACCACGAGUUCAUAGAUAUGAACCUCGUGAUUGUUUGGAUAAAAUGCAACCACUGCAAGAGAGAAUAGUAUUGAGUUGUAAGCUUCAACAUAUAAAGUACAUGACUUAUUAUCAAUUCUUAAUGAUUUAAAGUAAGUUAUUGUCAAUACAAACCAAAAAAGGGCAAUAUAACAAUGAACCAAAAGGUGAUUGAAUCCUGAAACUUACAGAUCAAUAGAAAACCGAGGAAGACAACGAUGAGGAGGUUCUUGUAGACCUAUUAAUGGAAGGCAAACACUAAACCUAUUAGACAUGGUAUCCCACUAUCACUACAUCAAUUCUCUUUUAACACAAUUUAAGCUAGUAUUAUGCAUAAAAUCAUGCAGUAGAAACUGACAAAACUGCAGGCAUAGUCCAUCAUCAGCAACUUAAAAAUCAUCUUUGGACCAUAAAUCCACACCACUGUGAGAAAUUUCACAAAUGUCGAUUUGUUACUGCAAAGUGUUGAAACUAAUAUAGUAGAUAUCGUACAUCUUACCCUGUUUGCUUCUUUCAAAAGAAUGGUGCAAUUAAAAUAAAGCAUCAUCGCUCUGCCAAAACAUGGGAUAAAUCUUAUUGAAUAAAGAGAUAGGCAAAUGUCUCUGACCAUCUAAUAGACAGAGAAUCAGUAAAUAUUCUAUUAACAUGAUAGAAACCAGAAGAUCAAGUGCAGUACUAAUUCUUGCAUCCUCCAGAAGAUAUCUACUUAAAUGUCCUGCUCCAUUAAAGCUUCCAAGAGUGCUCAAUAACUACAAGUUAUCAAGACCAAACUAACUAAUGAAUUCUUAUAUGUUUUUCUAUAAGCUACCUGUAACAACAAAAGCACUCAUUCAUUCACGAAUUGUCCAUUAUAUCAGAUGCUCGCCACACAUUCACAUCAUACCAUGACAUAGCAUGCAUAUAAAUGCAGUGACAAAGUAGGUAUGAAGUUAUGAACCAUUGUUCAAGUCCCUUGAUGUGCAUGUUAUAGAUAAUCUAGAGGUUUUUCUAGGAAAUUGUGGUUGAAAGAGAGAGCAACAGGUCUAAGCACAUGACAUAGAAAGGAAAGCGGUAAGAAUACAGAAUGGUUCUAAGAUAGUACUAAUACCCUUCACUGGUAACAAAAAACUCCACAAACGAAUUCAAGGAGACCAAAAUUGAAGUCACGUCGCAUGGAUCAAAAGGAACGAACAGAAAGUGGGAAAUAGCCGUACGAAGUAUCACUCUAAUAAACAAUCAUAGACGGCAAUAAAAGAAAGCUAAUCCUACAGUAACUGCUACCCAUUCAAGAUCCCAUACGUAGAUCCGGAAGAACGAUUGAAGAACAUAGCAGCAAACCGAUAAAAGAGAGAAGAAUUGAGGAAACGGAGGUUACUAGAUUGAUCGGGGCACCAAGCAUGGCAGGUGAUGCACUGCGCGAACUGAUGGAUCGCCACCGCUGCCAUGCCCUAAAUCACCUUCUCCUCCUCCCCCCCUUCGCCACUCCUCUCUCUCUCUCUCUGAGCGAAGGGAACUACGAGAGGAACGAGCAGAGGCGGACUUGAGAGGAUUCGUCGUCGAGGAGGAAAGCUGGAGAGGCGAACCAAACCCUUGUGAUUGUAAGUAUAAUUGUAACUUUGGCUCAAAUUGGGAAUACUUUUCACGAUGUAACUAACUAAUUAUUGGUGACUAGUUAGUUGGAAAUAACUAACUAUUUAGUUGGAAAUAACUAAUUAGUUGGUAGCUAACUUUUGAUUUGUUUUUUCUUUCAUCAAUAUCUUUUUUUUUCAUUUUUUAUUUUACGUGAAAACCUUUGCUACUAC